Molecule: ribosomal RNA, 492 nt
Filed under: uncultured bacterium
Lineage: Bacteria
Description: partial 16S ribosomal RNA
Rfam family: Bacterial small subunit ribosomal RNA
Source: RNAcentral
AGUGAACGCUGGCGGUAGGCCUAACACAUGCAAGUCGAACGGCAGCACAGUAAGAGCUUGCUCUUACGGGUGGCGAGUGGCGGACGGGUGAGGAAUACAUCGGAAUCUACUUUUUCGUGGGGGAUAACGUAGGGAAACUUACGCUAAUACCGCAUACGACCUACGGGUGAAAGCAGGGGAUCUUCGGACCUUGCGCGAUUGAAUGAGCCGAUGUCGGAUUAGCUAGUUGGCGGGGUAAAGGCCCACCAAGGCGACGAUCCGUAGCUGGUCUGAGAGGAUGAUCAGCCACACUGGAACUGCGACACGGUCCAGACUCCUACGGGAGGCAGCAGUGGGGAAUAUUGGACAAUGGGCGCAAGCCUGAUCCAGCCAUACCGCGUGGGUGAAGAAGGCCUUCGGGUUGUAAAGCCCUUUUGUUGGGAAAGAAAAGCAGCAGGUUAAUACCCCACUGUUCUGACGGUACCCAAAGAAUAAGCACCGGCUAACUUCGUG